RNAcentral lists this ribosomal RNA (301 nucleotides) under uncultured bacterium. Its description in RNAcentral is "partial 16S ribosomal RNA". It matches the Rfam family "Bacterial small subunit ribosomal RNA", at positions 509 to 807 of the family's 1533-position model. The record is from RNAcentral.
CAGCCGCCGCGGUAAUACGUAGGGUGCGAGCGUUAAUCGGAGUUACUGGGCGUAAAGCGUGCGCAGGCGGUUAUGUAAAACAGUUGUGAAAUCCCCGGGCUCAACCUGGGAACUGCAUCUGUGACUGCAUAGCUAGAGUACGGUAGAGGGGGAUGGAAUUCCGCGUGUAGCAGUGAAAUGCGUAGAUAUGCGAAGGAACACCGAUGGCGAAGGCAAUCCCCUGGACCUGUACUGACGCUCAUGCACGAAAGCGUGGGGAGCAAACAGGAUUAGAUACCCGGGUAGUCCCUGUCUCUUAUAC